UGUAGGCGGUCCUCUAAGUUUGGUGUGAAAUCUCCCGGCUCAACUGGGAGGGUGCGCCGAAAACUGGGGGGCUAGAGUGCGGGAUGGGAGAGUGGAAUUCCUGGUGUAGCGGUGAAAUGCGUAGAUAUCAGGAGGAACACCUGUGGUGUAGACGGCUCUCUGGACCGCAACCGACGCUGAGACACGAAAGCGUGGGUAAGCAAACA
Molecule: ribosomal RNA, 206 nt
Filed under: uncultured bacterium
Lineage: Bacteria
Description: partial 16S ribosomal RNA
Rfam family: Bacterial small subunit ribosomal RNA
Source: RNAcentral